AAAUGAAGGCAGAGAUCAG
RNAcentral lists this small nuclear RNA (19 nucleotides) under Arabidopsis thaliana (thale cress). RNAcentral's name for it is "snRNA_16444". The record is from RNAcentral. Lineage: Eukaryota; Viridiplantae; Streptophyta; Magnoliopsida; Brassicales; Brassicaceae.